Molecule: ribosomal RNA, 468 nt
Filed under: uncultured bacterium
Lineage: Bacteria
Description: partial 16S ribosomal RNA
Rfam family: Bacterial small subunit ribosomal RNA
Source: RNAcentral
GACGAACGCUGGCGGCGCGCCUAACACAUGCAAGUCGAACGGAGCUGAGAGAAGCUUGCUUUUCUUAGCUUAGUGGCGAACGGGUGAGUAACGCGUGAGUAACCUGCCCUGGAGUGGGGGACAACAGUUGGAAACGAUUGCUAAUACCGCAUAAGCCCACGAUCCGGCAUCGGAUUGAGGGAAAAGGAUUUAUUCGCUUCAGGAUGGACUCGCGUCCAAUUAGCUAGUUGGUGAGGUAACGGCCCACCAAGGCGACGAUUGGUAGCCGGACUGAGAGGUUGAACGGCCACAUUGGGACUGAGACACGGCCCAGACUCCUACGGGAGGCAGCAGUGGGGGAUAUUGCACAAUGGGGGAAACCCUGAUGCAGCGACGCCGCGUGGAGGAAGAAGGUUUUCGGAUUGUAAACUCCUGUCGUUAGGGACGAUAAUGACGGUACCUAACAAGAAAGCACCGGCUAACUACGUG